RNAcentral lists this ribosomal RNA (466 nucleotides) under uncultured bacterium. Its description in RNAcentral is "bacterial SSU rRNA". It matches the Rfam family "Bacterial small subunit ribosomal RNA", at positions 28 to 467 of the family's 1533-position model. The record is from RNAcentral.
GACGAACGCUGGCGGCGUGCCUAAUACAUGCAAGUUGAACGCAACAAAGACACCAGAGCUUGCUCUACCGUCUUUGUUGAGUAGCGAACGGGUGAGUAACGCGUGGGUAACCUGCCUUAUAGCGGGGGAUAACUAUUGGAAACGAUAGCUAAUACCGCAUAACAAUAGAGAUUGCAUAAUCUUUAUUUGAAAGUGCCAACUGGUACACUAUGAGAUGGACCCGCGUUGUAUUAGCUAGUUGGUAGUGUAAUGGACUACCAAGGCGAUGAUACAUAGCCGACCUGAGAGGGUGAUCGGCCACAUUGGGACUGAGACACGGCCCAAACUUCCCUAACGGGGAGGGCAGCAGUAGGGAAUCUUCGGCAAUGGACGAAAGUCUGACCGAGCAACGCCGCGUGAGUGAAGAAGGUUUUCGGAUCGUAAAACUCUGUUGUUAGAGAAGAAUGUUGAUUAGAGUGGAAAAUUA